This 1428-nucleotide long non-coding RNA is filed under the name Mus spicilegus (steppe mouse). RNAcentral's name for it is "lncRNA (ENSMSIG00000010935.1)". Lineage: Eukaryota; Metazoa; Chordata; Mammalia; Rodentia; Muridae. The record is from RNAcentral.
UCUGAGUCCACUGUGUCUCUUCCUCCAGGAGGCCCUCAUACUUCACUCCACUGAAGUGUCACCCCUUGGUGGCACUCUUUCCUAGCAGCUCUGACCCUUGUCAUCUGGGACAGGCAGUUCUGACAGAUGCUAUGUCACCUCUCUGGGAAGCCCCCUGACAACAGAAGCCGGGCCUUGAACCUUCAUUUGUCACUGCCCAGUGAAUAGGAUGUGGUAAGAAGUAUGUGCAUCCGCGGGUACCUGGUUACCUGGGUAACGUUCUCAGCCCUCAGACUCUCCUCCAGCCCCUAAGAUGUAUGAGGGAAAAAUGUGUGCAUUACAUCCUUUGCAGACAGGGGCUGUGCACGUGGCUGAUGCCCCAGCAGAAAUGACACCUGACUCAGUAAAGGCAACCCCCUUUCUUCUCUUCCUUAGCUCUCAAUGACUAAUUCCAAACUCUGUCAGUCCCCAGUGCUGAACUGGACCUGGAGACAAAGGGACCUCACAAAUAGCCUGUGCCCUAGACGGGCACUAUCAGAGAGGAGCCCAGUGCUUCCUCUAAUUCUCACAAGAGCUUCUCCAGUUGGCUAAUCUCAUUCUCUUUUGCCAGUGAGAAAAAAGGAUUACCAGGCGAGCCUACUAUGCAAGGCCAUGUGUCACAAAGUGACAGACAGGGCUCCUGUUUCCAUCAGAGCCUGCUUGCCCUGCCAUUUCCUCAGUGAGUCCCUCACAGUUUUUCCCUGUGAGUUUCGGGGGCUGCUUGCAGCUCCCCAAACUUGCACAUUUCCAGGCUACCCUGCCCCCUCCCUGCCUCCUCUCUUUCUGUUGUCUUAGGGACCCGGUAAUAUCGCCCAACACUUUACACAAGGAGCUUGGUACCCGGAACUUCACCUGGUUAAGUACGGCAGCUGGGAUCGUGGCUUUAAAAUCUCUCUGGUGGUCAGGAACUAUGGCAGAUACAGAGAAGAAAAGGAGAGGUGCCCUGAGCAUCCUGCCCACCCGUGGUCAAGAAAUAAGAGCGAUGCCCAUGCGAACCCAGCCUUGUGGUGGACAAGCAAAUGGUGUCACCAGGGGGCUCGUGGCAGGUGGCCCUGCACAUGCCUGACAGAGUCCUGCACGCUCCUCGGUGGGUAUCCAGGAGUCAAGGCUCAAGCUUGCUUCUAGAGCAUUCCUCUCUCGGUGCAAGAACAAAAGAGAUGCACGCCUUCAUUAGUUAGACUUCUGCGGAGUUCUAAAUCAAACCACAGCAUUCAAAUUUUAAAAGUUUGAUCAUCUGAGAAAUAAGGAUAUUAAAUAUGAUUAAAUAUGAUUGCAGUUGAGGGUGCAGGCUGCUCUUCCAUUACUUGCUUUGAUUAAAAAAAAAAAAAGCUAUCUGAGCUUCGAGGGUGAAAAGUUAAAUGCAGCAAGGAAGAAAAUAAAAGCCAGUGAGUCUGUAGCUGGUCUUACUUU